Non-coding RNA from Pelobates cultripes (western spadefoot toad), 352 nucleotides. The record is from the annotation of a GenBank genome assembly. Lineage: Eukaryota; Metazoa; Chordata; Amphibia; Anura; Pelobatidae.
UUUCUACAUUCCAUUUUAUUUUUUUUUACCCUUCACAAACACGCUUGUUAAAUAUAGGGGAUAAGUAAGCAUAAUAGUAAAAAUUCUCGGAAGUGACCGUUCUCCUUUAAAGAGGAAGCUCCAUUAGGAGCUCUGACUCACGCUUCACUAAUACUAAAUAGCACCAGUGAGACUCAUUUCUUUUUAAGUAAAUGAAAUGUUGCUUGUAGCACUAUAUGCUUGUGCAAUUAGAAUGACUGCUGUCAUUACAAUGAUUUGCAUGGGGCCCUUGGUGAAUGUAUACAGAACAUUUGCAUGAAAGAAUCCUACUCUAAUUAGCCUUGAAAGUGGAAUGCCAAAGUGUUAAGCCAAG